CUUUAAAGAGUUUGAUCCUGGCUCAGAUUGAACGCUGGCGUCAUGCCUUACACAUGCAAGUCGAACGGCAGCACGGGUGCUUGCACCUGGUGGCGAGUGGCGAACGGGUGAGUAAUACAUCGGAACAUGUCCUGUAGUGGGGGAUAGCCCGGCGAAAGCCGGAUUAAUACCGCAUACGAUCUACGGAUGAAAGCGGGGGACCUUCGGGCCUCGCGCUAUAGGGUUGGCCGAUGGCUGAUUAGCUAGUUGGUGGGGUAAAGGCCUACCAAGGCGACGAUCAGUAGCUGGUCUGAGAGGACGACCAGCCACACUGGGACUGAGACACGGCCCAGACUCCUACGGGAGGCAGCAGUGGGGAAUUUUGGACAAUGGGCGAAAGCCUGAUCCAGCAAUGCCGCGUGUGUGAAGAAGGCCUUCGGGUUGUAAAGCACUUUUGUCCGGAAAGAAAUCCUUGGCUCUAAUACAGUCGGGGGAUGACGGUACCGGAAGAAUAAGCACCGGCUAACUACGUGCCAGCAGCCGCGGUAAUACGUAGGGUGCGAGCGUUAAUCGGAAUUACUGGGCGUAAAGCGUGCGCAGGCGGUUUGCUAAGACCGAUGUGAAAUCCCCGGGCUCAACCUGGGAACUGCAUUGGUGACUGGCAGGCUAGAGUAUGGCAGAGGGGGGUAGAAUUCCACGUGUAGCAGUGAAAUGCGUAAAAAUGUGGAGGAAUACCGAUGGGGAAGGAAGCCCCCCUGGGCCAAUACUGACGCUCAUGCACGAAAGCGUGGGGAGCAACCAGGAUUAGAUACCCUGGUAGUUCACGCCCUAAACGAUGUCAACUAGUGUUGGGGGAUUCAUUUCCUUAGUAACGUAGCUAACGCGUGAAGUUGACCGCCUGGGGAGUACGGUCGCAAGAUUAAAACUCAAAGGAAUUGACGGGGACCCGCACGAGCGGUGGAUGAUGUGGAUUAAUUCGAUGCAACGCGAAAAACCUUACCUACCCUUGACAUGGUCGGAAUCCCGCUGAGAGGUGGGAGUGCUCGAAAGAGAACCGGCGCACAGGUGCUGCAUGGCUGUCGUCAGCUCGUGUCGUGAGAUGUUGGGUUAAGUCCCGCAACGAGCGCAACCCUUGUCCUUAGUUGCUACGCAAGAGCACUCUAAGGAGACUGCCGGUGACAAACCGGAGGAAGGUGGGGAUGACGUCAAGUCCUCAUGGCCCUUAUGGGUAGGGCUUCACACGUCAUACAAUGGUCGGAACAGAGGGUUGCCAACCCGCGAGGGGGAGCUAAUCCCAGAAAACCGAUCGUAGUCCGGAUUGCACUCUGCAACUCGAGUGCAUGAAGCUGGAAUCGCUAGUAAUCGCGGAUCAGCAUGCCGCGGUGAAUACGUUCCCGGGUCUUGUACACACCGCCCGUCACACCAUGGGAGUGGGUUUUACCAGAAGUGGCUAGUCUAACCGCAAGGAGGACGGUCACCACGGUAGGAUUCAUGACUGGGGUGAAGUCGUAACAAGGUAA
RNAcentral lists this ribosomal RNA (1499 nucleotides) under uncultured beta proteobacterium. RNAcentral's name for it is "bacterial SSU rRNA". It matches the Rfam family "Bacterial small subunit ribosomal RNA". The record is from RNAcentral. Lineage: Bacteria; Pseudomonadati; Pseudomonadota; Betaproteobacteria.